Molecule: non-coding RNA, 475 nt
Organism: Prunus avium (sweet cherry)
Lineage: Eukaryota; Viridiplantae; Streptophyta; Magnoliopsida; Rosales; Rosaceae
Source: RefSeq, a predicted model, not a curated record
UGAAAAAGACGAAUCCUUUUUGGCACCAUCAUAUAAAUCAUAUUUAUUUUUUUAAGCAGCCAUGACAAAGUGCUCUGACGGGGUUGAAACUUGAACCCAUUUUGAACAUUUAUAUCCUCUUCUCCUCCGCAGCUCUCCAGAGAGUGCUCAGAGAGACACAGAUGGAACCUCCACCAGCACAAGCCAUAGAGACUUCCAGCAACAAUUUUCAGGCAGGAGAAGAUGAGCAGGACAAAGUCAUCAAUGACUGUUGUUCCUGCUUUUAUGACUGCACAGAGACCUGCUUUGAUUACUUAUUCUGUAAUCUCUGUUAGAUGAGAUGGGAUUAGAUUAAGCUUAUAAGUUCAUGUUGGUACUAGUUUUAUCCUUUUUUCUUUUUCUUUUUGUUUUUGUUUUUGUUUUCUUUGACUAGCUUGCCUAUUGAUUACAUUGGAUUUAACAUGAAUAUGAUUUUUUAAUACCCCUUUUGAUUUAA